This is a long non-coding RNA of Ipomoea nil (Japanese morning glory), 100 nucleotides long. RefSeq lists it as uncharacterized. The record is from RefSeq and is a predicted model, not a curated record. Lineage: Eukaryota; Viridiplantae; Streptophyta; Magnoliopsida; Solanales; Convolvulaceae. The transcript has 3 exons.
AUUAAUAAUAAAAUAAAACUUGGAAUCAAGCAUUUAUCCAGUUAAAAGGUUUGGGAAACUCACCAAUGGCUUCAACUAGACGAAGAACCAUUUGCCCUGU